RNAcentral lists this transfer RNA (67 nucleotides) under Schistosoma mansoni. Lineage: Eukaryota; Metazoa; Platyhelminthes; Trematoda; Strigeidida; Schistosomatidae. The record is from RNAcentral.
UCAGUAGCUGAGUGGAUAACGUGAUGGCGUUUGAAGCGAAAGGUACUUGGUUCGAGUCCCAGAGUGA